This 95-nucleotide ribosomal RNA is filed under the name uncultured archaeon. RNAcentral describes it as "partial 16S ribosomal RNA". The record is from RNAcentral.
CUCCCCCGUUGCUGACCCCAGGUUCGAUAGCGCCAAUUAGGCGCCACCUCGCCAAGAACCAGCUUCGGUGAAGCGACGGGCGGUGUGUGCAAGGA